Molecule: ribosomal RNA, 255 nt
Filed under: uncultured bacterium
Lineage: Bacteria
Description: partial 16S ribosomal RNA
Rfam family: Bacterial small subunit ribosomal RNA
Source: RNAcentral
UACGUAGGGUGCAAGCGUUGUCCGGAAUUAUUGGGCGUAAAGAGCUCGUAGGCGGUCUGUCGCGUCUGCUGUGAAAACCUAGGGCUUAACUCUGGGCGUGCAGUGGGUACGGGCAGGCUAAAAGUGCGGUAGGGGGAGACUGGAAUUCCUGGUGUAGCGGUGAAAUGCGCAGAUAUCAGGAGGAACACCGGUGGCGAAGGCGGGUCUCUGGGCCGUAACUGACGCUGAGGAGCGAAAGCAUGGGGAGCGAACAGG